This 468-nucleotide ribosomal RNA is filed under the name uncultured bacterium. RNAcentral's name for it is "partial 16S ribosomal RNA". It matches the Rfam family "Bacterial small subunit ribosomal RNA", at positions 28 to 507 of the family's 1533-position model. The record is from RNAcentral.
GACGAACGCUGGCGGCGUGCUUAACACAUGCAAGUCGAACGGAAAGGCCCUGCUUUUGUGGGGUGCUCGAGUGGCGAACGGGUGAGUAACACGGGGGUAACCUGCCCUUGACUUUGGGAUAACUUCAGGAAACUGGGGCUAAUACCGGAUAGGAGCUCCUGCUGCAUGGUGGGGGUUGGAAAGUUUCGGCGGUUGGGGAUGGACUCGCGGCUUAUCAGCUUGUUGGUGGGGUAGUGGCUUACCAAGGCUUUGACGGGUAGCCGGCCUGAGAGGGUGACCGGCCACAUUGGGACUGAGAUACGGCCCAGACUCCUACGGGAGGCAGCAGUGGGGAAUAUUGCACAAUGGGCGGAAGCCUGAUGCAGCAACGCCGCGUGCGGGAUGACGGCCUUCGGGUUGUAAACCGCUUUCGCCUGUGACGAAGCGUGAGUGACGGUAAUGGGUAAAGAAGCACCGGCUAACUACGUG